AAAAAGUUGGCAGAGUAAUGCAUUUGGCUUAGGACCAACAAACGGAUAAAUAUUCCACUUUUUA
RNAcentral lists this transfer RNA (64 nucleotides) under Pholoe pallida. RNAcentral describes it as "tRNA-Leu". The record is from RNAcentral. Lineage: Eukaryota; Metazoa; Annelida; Polychaeta; Phyllodocida; Pholoidae.